GGGGAGAUACCCGAGUGGCCAAAGGGGGCGGGCUGUAAACCCGCUGGAAUUUCCUUCGGAGGUUCGAAUCCUCCUCUCCCCA
This 82-nucleotide transfer RNA is filed under the name Mucispirillum schaedleri ASF457. It matches the Rfam family "tRNA". Rfam says of the family: Transfer RNA (tRNA) molecules are approximately 80 nucleotides in length. Their secondary structure includes four short double-helical elements and three loops (D, anti-codon, and T loops). Lineage: Bacteria; Pseudomonadati; Deferribacterota; Deferribacteres; Deferribacterales; Mucispirillaceae. The record is from Rfam by way of RNAcentral.